UGAGUAAUGUCUGGGAAACUGCCUGAUGGAGGGGGAUAACUACUGGAAACGGUAGCUAAUACCGCAUAACGUCUUCGGACCAAAGUGGGGGACCUUCGGGCCUCAUGCCAUCAGAUGUGCCCAGAUGGGAUUAGCUAGUAGGUGGGGUAAUGGCUCACCUAGGCGACGAUCCCUAGCUGGUCUGAGAGGAUGACCAGCCACACUGGAACUGAGACACGGUCCAGACUCCUACGGGAGGCAGCAGUGGGGAAUAUUGCACAAUGGGCGCAAGCCUGAUGCAGCCAUGCCGCGUGUAUGAAGAAGGCCUUCGGGUUGUAAAGUACUUUCAGUGGGGAGGAAGGCGUUAAGGUUAAUAACCUUAGCGAUUGACGUUACCCGCAGAAGAAGCACCGGCUAACUCCGUGCCAGCAGCCGCGGUAAUACGGAGGGUGCAAGCGUUAAUCGGAAUUACUGGGCGUAAAGCGCACGCAGGCGGUCUGUCAAGUCGGAUGUGAAAUCCCCGGG
This 504-nucleotide ribosomal RNA is filed under the name uncultured bacterium. Its description in RNAcentral is "bacterial SSU rRNA". It matches the Rfam family "Bacterial small subunit ribosomal RNA", at positions 107 to 607 of the family's 1533-position model. The record is from RNAcentral.